Molecule: ribosomal RNA, 165 nt
Filed under: uncultured Pyramimonas
Lineage: Eukaryota; Viridiplantae; Chlorophyta; Pyramimonadophyceae; Pyramimonadales
Description: partial Eukaryotic large subunit ribosomal RNA
Rfam family: Eukaryotic large subunit ribosomal RNA (bases 30-165)
Source: RNAcentral
GAAGAAGAGCAGGUGAGCAAACUUAUCAAAGUCCGACUUUGUGACAUGACUACGAGGUAGAAUAAGUGGGAGCUCUGGCGCCAGUGAAAUACCACCACUCUUGACGUUAUUUUACUUAUUCCAUGAGUUGGAAGCUGUUCUCCAUACUCCAUGUAUUUGUCAACA